UCCCCCCUUUUUUUCAGAUACCUGUACAGAGCGAGCGAGCUGGGGCCAAAGAGAGAGAGGGAAAGAGAGAUGGAGAGAGUAUGAAUGACAUACCGAACGGGGGGGGGUGCUGCAUUGACACAUAAAACCAGUGUUGCUCAGCUGGAGGAGCGGUGCUGGAGGACUAUUGCUGCAGCUAAUGGAGAAGCUAGUGUGUGGUGCAAGGGACAAGGAGAGCUCCCUCCUCAGGGACAGCCAGUCACCUGCAAUCAGCACGCCUGCCCACUAGUCAAGCAAGCUCCUCUUCACUUCAUAAACCCAGCUCCACCAGCCAGCCUCCGCCGGAUCAUUGUCAUUCAUGGAUGAACCUACCUGCUGCUACAUCUCAUCCAGCCCACCAGUCAGCUCUCUGGCUGCCCGCCUGCCAGCCCCCCAUUCCUGAACCUCGCUUUCCCCUCACCACCACCACCGCCACCACCAGCCUGCAAUAUCAAAAACUCUUGUAAUAAAAUACUUACGUUUCAGAAACCCUGCCAUUGAGUAUGCCCACUAGAGCCCUUCUUCUAGCUCAGGGCUCAGCAACCUUUACUAUCAAAAGAGCCAUCUUAGGC
This is a long non-coding RNA of Sebastes umbrosus (honeycomb rockfish), 590 nucleotides long. RefSeq lists it as uncharacterized. The transcript is spliced from 3 exons. Lineage: Eukaryota; Metazoa; Chordata; Actinopteri; Perciformes; Sebastidae. The record is from RefSeq and is a predicted model, not a curated record.